RNAcentral lists this small RNA (1584 nucleotides) under Pan troglodytes (chimpanzee). Its description in RNAcentral is "unitary pseudogene". The record is from RNAcentral. Lineage: Eukaryota; Metazoa; Chordata; Mammalia; Primates; Hominidae.
AAGUUUUCUGCCCCAUUGGAUAUCAGGCUAAUUUCCAGCUUCUGGUGAUUGCAGAUCCAGUUCCGUUUGAAACUGUGGCCAAUUUGGUCUACUUGGUCCAAGUUGCCCAGGGUCCCACAACCCACAGAAGCCCUUCCUUCUUCCAGAACUUGGUCCCCAUCUUCACAGCAGAGUUACCCAUAGUGCUCAAGAAAGGAGAAAAAUAGUCUUCCAUUGGCAUUGAAGAGAGUCGAGGGAAGAGGCUCCUAAGACGCAAAGUCCUGGGAAAGAAGACCCGCCCCUAAGCUUCUCCUCCCCAUGGUCGACCACGGCCGGUUCCUGGAGUGCCAGGAUGGUUUGCUCUACUCCAUCUACAGCAUGUGAAGUGGAACCUGCUUGCAGGGAGGAAAUGCAUGUCAGGGCGGUGGUGGGGAAUUGCCUGAGGAGUCUUGGUGCCCUGAUUCCAGAGAACUUUGCUGGUCCUCUGGUUUUGUAACCCUAUUUCUCGGUGAUGGCACUUUGGCCAGGUGAGUAAGGGGAAGUGGUUUGGAGCUGUCUCACCAUCAAUGGGUGCAAUCCAGGUUGCCAUCCCCUCCUACCUAGACAUACAUGUCACUGAUAUUACAGGCCUAGGAAGUCUGCCCAUUAAAACAGUGACAAUGAGACAAAUAUACAGUAUGGAAAAAAGCAAAUUCCCGCUGAGAAUCAAAAUAAUGAGUGUGGUCCUUGCAGAGACUAAAACAGGCACAAGCAAGCCCUUUCUGUUCAAGUGCAGGCAGCUCUUAACCAUCCUUGGGAUGAACAAAGUGAUAAAGUUCCUUGCCACGGAGAUUUCCUAAGGAAAGAAGAGGCAGCAUUUCCUCAUCACAUAUGCCUAUCAGGGCAGGGUCCUCGGGAGAGGUCUGUAUUUUAACUCAGUUUCUGACAUUGCUGUGGCUAUGCCAAGUGGACAGCUCUACUUCCAGUCCUCCAGAGACUACACUUCCCACGUGAAGCCAUUUGCAUCAUUCACAGCCAUUGUUUCCUUGCUCUGAAGAAGGGUGUGGUUUCUGCCAAAAUUCAAGGUGAGCUACACAGAGUCGAAGUCCUAACGUGCCAGAACAUUACCACCAAAACCAUAGUCCAGCUUCUCCUGUUUGCAGAAGGAGACUUCUGGGAACUGGUUGAUGAUGCUGGGCCAGGGCUCCUGCAGGAGCUGUGUGAAGUCAGAAGACUCCUGUGCCAUGUCAGAGUGACCAGUCUGGAUCCCUCCAUGGCCAGAGACCCCCUGUAUGGGACUGAGGAUCUGUGGGUUGAAAAUGUCAUCAUUGAACAAUGCCUUGUAGCCACAGAUGAGACUUUGCCAGAAGACAUACACACAGAUUUCUCAGAAGACGUAUACUUGAGCUUGUCAGAAGACUCAUUUGAAAUCCCAGUUGAGAAGAUGAGCUCAAUGGUGUUGGUAGUUGAAGAGCACUCAUGGAUGACAGAUGCCAGGAAGGAGCCCAGCUUGGCUGUCCAUGACAUAGAAGAGAUAAAUGAGGCAGAGUCCCUGACCUCUAGUAAUUAUAUGAUUGUUCCCCAACCACCACCAUGCCCUCCAAAGCCCAGAAGUUUGUCUUACAA